RNAcentral lists this ribosomal RNA (482 nucleotides) under uncultured bacterium. RNAcentral's name for it is "partial 16S ribosomal RNA". It matches the Rfam family "Bacterial small subunit ribosomal RNA", at positions 30 to 507 of the family's 1533-position model. The record is from RNAcentral.
AUUGAACGCUGGCGGCAUGCCUUACACAUGCAAGUCGAACGGUAACAGGUCUUCGGAUGCUGACGAGUGGCGAACGGGUGAGUAAUACAUCGGAACGUGCCCGAUCGUGGGGGAUAACGAGGCGAAAGCUUUGCUAAUACCGCAUACGAUCUACGGAUGAAAGCGGGGGAUCUUCGGACCUCGCGCGGACGGAGCGGCCGAUGGCAGAUUAGGUAGUUGGUGGGAUAAAAGCUUACCAAGCCGACGAUCUGUAGCUGGUCUGAGAGGAUGAUCAGCCACACUGGAACUGAGACACGGCCCAGACUCCUACGGGAGGCAGCAGUGGGGAAUUUUGGACAAUGGGCGAAAGCCUGAUCCAGCCAUGCCGCGUGCAUGAUGAAGGCCUUCGGGUUGUAAACUGCUUUUGUACGGAACGAAAAGCCUCUUUCUAAUAAAGAGGGGUCAUGACGGUACCGUAAGAAUAAGCACCGGCUAACUACGUG